Molecule: long non-coding RNA, 1869 nt
Filed under: Bos indicus x Bos taurus (hybrid cattle)
Lineage: Eukaryota; Metazoa; Chordata; Mammalia; Artiodactyla; Bovidae
Description: lncRNA (ENSBIXG00005005357.1)
Source: RNAcentral
AUGGCCUGCCUGGGGCUUGGUGGCCGCUGGGACCCAGAGCUGGGGUUCGGGGCGGUGGUGCGGCUGCGAGGGCAUCGGCUAGAGGGGGCUUGCUCUGGGGGGCCCCCGGGGAGCCUGGCCGGGGUGCUGGCUGCCGCCUGCCCCCAGGCCGGGAACAAUGCGGCCUCUAUCCCCCGAGCCGGCCAGCCAGGCGGGCCUCCCGCAACAUGGCGCCCGGGGCCGCGCCGCCUGUCCACGGGGAGGGCUGGCGCCCGGACCAGCCCGGCCCCCCGCGUCCUCCCCGGGCCGGCCUCGCAGUGGCCAGACGCCGCGGCCGCCCCCUUCCUCCCCCGCUGGGCCGGCCCCGGCCCCCUCCCGCCGGCGAUGGGUUUGGGGGUCCGGCCCACCCGCCGCUGCCACGUCUGCCACCCUCCCAGCACCCACGAGCAUCUUUCAAAAAUUCCCGGUGGGCGGGGCCGAGCCGCAGCGGCCGCCUCUGGCCCCCCCUCCCCGGCAGCCAGUGCCAGAGGAGAGCAGGAGACAAAAGUAGCAUUUUCCUCGCCCUCCUGGGCUGGCGGCGGGGCCUCCCCAGCGCCCUCGGCUCCUGGCCGGCCUGCCUCCGGGUUGCCGGGGUGGCCGAGGCCGCGGCCACGCCGGCCGGGACCGAGGGGACCGGUGGACGCCGGUGGCCACAGCCGAGGCGCCCGAGGGCUGGCGCCCGGGCCGGCCCUCCUCUGCCUGCCGCGGGGCCUGGCUGGGGCGACGGCCGCCGCCUUCACUGCCUUGCUGUGGACCAGCUCUCCGUCCUCCUGCGCCCGGCGUGGGGGUCCUGUUCGUGCAGGCCUGAGCAGCCGGCUGGAGCAGACACCACCAAAUACUGAACGGAGCUCGGCACACGCGAGAAGCGUCUGCGGCUGCUUUUGUUCUGAGAUCCGACAGCAGUCGCUCCUGGAGGAUUUGGGGCUGCAGAGACAGGCGCACGGAGCAGAGAUAAUUAAAACAUUUUCCUGAUGGUGACAGCCACAUUCUGCUGCUGGAAGCUGGAAGAUCAUUCCACCCAAAUAUUUAGCCAGCACCAGAUGAAACACGGGUGACAAAACGAAAGUAAUCGGGAAAAAACGGCAACAAAUUCUAGAGGCAGGAGAGUCCACGGUCCAGAGAGGGUGGCUGGGGGUUACUGGAGAGGAAGGUUGAUCAUUCUUAAAGAAUUUAUGCUUUUAAUAGCUGCCCAUUCCUCAUUUUAAAAAAAUUUUAUAUGAUAAAAUUAUAACUUUCUUGUAAUUAAAUGUAGAUGAAUAGGCCUUUAAUUCUAAAUCCUAGAGUGAUAGUCAAAUUUCCUGAGCAUUAACUCAUCUUCUUUUUGGACAAGGUAGCGCAAGUAGCAUAAAAUCAAUUAAUUUUCAUAAAUGAGCAUUUUCAUUCUAAAGUGGUAUUUUCCACCGAGAUUAUGUUCAUCUAAUGGUUUUAAUGUAUAUGAAUAACACAUUUUCCAGCCUACACCUUGUAUAGUUGGGAUAGUAAUAUGUGAUCAAUUAUCAUCUUCAUUUUUUAAUUUGGGGAAUCACACUGUACCUCUCCCAAGUCAGUAAAUUUCCACAGAAUCUUUUGUUGUUGUUGUUGUUUUAAUCAGGCGAAAAUAUCAGCAUUCUCCAUGGCACCCAGUACUUCUCAGCAGUAUUUUUUUUUAAGAAAGUACCGCACAUAGCAGUUUUCACAUCAUCGCUUCUAUAUAAAUUCCACUAUAGACUGAAAUUAUACAUUCUCACAGCACAGAUGGGCUGGUCUGUCAUUAUGACUGCCGGGUCCUUGUUGGAACACACAGCAUAUUUCAAUUGUGGAGUCGACAAUUUCGAAGAACUGAGGUCAAAAUAAACAAGUUGCCUUUGUACA